RNAcentral lists this ribosomal RNA (277 nucleotides) under uncultured prokaryote. RNAcentral's name for it is "partial 16S ribosomal RNA". It matches the Rfam family "Bacterial small subunit ribosomal RNA", at positions 524 to 800 of the family's 1533-position model. The record is from RNAcentral.
UACGGAGGAUCCGAGCGUUAUCCGGAUUUAUUGGGUUUAAAGGGUGCGCAGGCGGGGGAUUAAGUCGGCGGUGAAAUUUUGCAGCUCAACUGUAAAAGUGCCUUCGAAACUGGUUUCCUUGAGUGUAGAUGAAGUAGGCGGAAUUUGUGGUGUAGCGGUGAAAUGCUUAGAUAUAACGAGGAACUCCGAUUGCGCAGGCAGCUUACUAAACUACUACUGACGCUCAGGCACGAAGGCGUGGGGAUCAAACAGGAUUAGAUACCCUGGUAGUCCCUGA